Molecule: long non-coding RNA, 1439 nt
Organism: Astatotilapia calliptera (eastern happy)
Lineage: Eukaryota; Metazoa; Chordata; Actinopteri; Cichliformes; Cichlidae
Source: Ensembl
GAAAUAUAGAACAAUAACAGCAGCUGUACAAGUACUAAAUGGCAAUGAAGAAAUAUAAUGUCCAGGGUUGUGCAAUCCACAUAUAUUUUUCAUAUUUUUCGAGAUGUCAUUUGAGUGGCAUGGCUACAUUUGGAAGUGUGUAGUGAUAGUGCAUAUACUAGAAAAAGGAUGUUGAACAUGGACCUAGGAGGAGGAAAAGAGGAAGAUCACAGAAGAUAUUAAUGAAGAAGGAGGACAUUCAGAGGCUUGGGUUCACUGGGUAAACUACUAAAUCAUAAAUUAUCACUGACUUGGUAAGUCAGUAUGUGAUGGAUGAAGUGCUGAAUAGAUAAAUAUGGCUUUUCUUGUAAAGUGUACCAAGUGGUACAUAAAACUGAAUAUAUGGCACAAGAUUUUUAUUAUUAUGUCAAUUUUUCUUAUGGUUUCCAGGAAAUUCCCCUAAAUGGAUCAAAAACUAACUCACAUUCUCCUCUUCUUUGGUACUUCCACUAUGUCAAUUUGACAAUGAAUUGGACUGAUGCUCAAAAUUACUGCAGAGAGAAAUACACAGACCUGGCCACCAUCGACAGACUGAACAGACCUCCUUUAUCAACCACUACAGCAUGGAUCGGAUUAAGAAAUGGCCCCGAAGCCUGGAAGGGAACACUGAAAAAUUAUAGCAACUCCUGGAGAUGGUCAGCAACUGGUCAAACAAAGACAACAAACUCCUAUGUGUAUGUCACAAUUGCGCGCAUAUGGUUGGAUCCACAAGCUCACUUCAGAGCAUACUACACUGACUUGGUUACAAUUGAGAGCUCUGUUGAAAAUACAAAGAUACAGUGGUGCAUACAACUGGUUAAAAUAAGGAUUCAAACUGACACUAACUUGACAGAUCACACUAUGAACACCCAGGUCCUCCAACAGCUAAGUGCAAAACUAGCAAGUGAGGAACCAGCUGACAUCAAGCUGCAAUAGAAGAUUCAGCCCAGAAAACAGGAGACAGUCAACAUGACACAAACGACUUGUACAACAUUCCCUUGACAAAGACAACUAUGACUAAAUGAGUUAAUCAAUAUAACUUAUUUUUCAAAUGAGGAACCUGUCACAUUAUCUCUAAGGUGACCAGAGCCAAACAAAUCUGGUCACCCUAGUUUGGUAAGAAUAAUUAUGUUUGACAAAAUUUUACACAUGGUUUGUGUUAAGAAAUUCUGUUGUAAUAUAUAUUUAGUAGAUAAAGGUCAUGUAAAUGACACAUGGAUACUUUAUUAAUACAGUGAUUUACUAAGUAAAAAACUUGAUGGUAGUACCUGCAUAUGUUUUUAGCCUGUCUUUAAAACUGUGUGCCUUGUGACUGAUAAACAAAUUCUCCUAAAUUUUGUUUUCAAAGGUUUUAUUUGUUUAUAAAUAAAACCACGUGACAUCUCUUGGUUUAUCAAUAAACAGCAACAAGCCAUGUGGAA